GUAACACGUGAAGAACUUGUCCGGUGGCGGGGGAUAGCCGGCCCAACGGCCGGGUAAUACCGCAUACGCUCG
RNAcentral lists this ribosomal RNA (72 nucleotides) under uncultured Gemmatimonadota bacterium. RNAcentral's name for it is "uncultured Gemmatimonadetes bacterium partial 16S ribosomal RNA". Lineage: Bacteria; Pseudomonadati; Gemmatimonadota. The record is from RNAcentral.